UACGGAGGAUCCAAGCGUUAUCCGGAAUCAUUGGGUUUAAAGGGUCCGUAGGCGGUUUUGUAAGUCAGUGGUGAAAGCCCAUCGCUCAACGGUGGAACGGCCAUUGAUACUGCAAGACUUGAAUUAUUGGGAAGUAACUAGAAUAUGUAGUGUAGCGGUGAAAUGCUUAGAGAUUACAUGGAAUACCAAUUGCGAAGGCAGGUUACUACCAAUAUAUUGACGCUGAUGGAC
RNAcentral lists this ribosomal RNA (231 nucleotides) under uncultured bacterium. Its description in RNAcentral is "partial 16S ribosomal RNA". It matches the Rfam family "Bacterial small subunit ribosomal RNA", at positions 524 to 754 of the family's 1533-position model. The record is from RNAcentral.